RNAcentral lists this ribosomal RNA (245 nucleotides) under uncultured Eubacteriales bacterium. Its description in RNAcentral is "uncultured Clostridiales bacterium partial 16S ribosomal RNA". It matches the Rfam family "Bacterial small subunit ribosomal RNA", at positions 524 to 768 of the family's 1533-position model. Lineage: Bacteria; Bacillati; Bacillota; Clostridia; Eubacteriales. The record is from RNAcentral.
UACGUAGGUGGCAAGCGUUGUCCGGAAUUACUGGGCGUAAAGGGCGUGUAGGCGGUUACUUAAGUCAGAUGUGAAAUAUCCGGGCUCAACCCGGAGGGUGCAUCUGAUACUGGGUAACUUGAGUGCAGGAGAGGGUAGUGGAAUUCCUAGUGUAGCGGUGAAAUGCGUAGAUAUUAGGAGGAACACCAGUGGCGAAGGCGGCUACCUGGACUGUAACUGACGCUGAGGCGCGAAAGCGUGGGGAG